GAUUAAGUUAUUAAGGGCGCACGGUGGAUGCCUUGGCACUAGAAGCCGAUGAAGGACGUUACUAACGACGAUAUGCUUUGGGGAGCUGUAAGUAAGCUUUGAUCCAGAGAUUUCCGAAUGGGGAAACCCAGCAUGAGUUAUGUCAUGUUAUCGAUAUGUGAAUACAUAGCAUAUCAGAAGGCACACCCGGAGAACUGAAACAUCUUAGUACCCGGAGGAAGAGAAAGAAAAUUCGAUUCCCUUAGUAGCGGCGAGCGAAACGGGAAGAGCCCAAACCAACAAGCUUGCUUGUUGGGGUUGUAGGACACUCUAUACGGAGUUACAAAGGACGACAUUAGACGAAUCAUCUGGAAAGAUGAAUCAAAGAAGGUAAUAAUCCUGUAGUCGAAAAUGUUGUCUCUCUUGAGUGGAUCCUGAGUACGACGGAGCACGUGAAAUUCCGUCGGAAUCUGGGAGGACCAUCUCCUAAGGCUAAAUACUCUCUAGUGACCGAUAGUGAACCAGUACCGUGAGGGAAAGGUGAAAAGCACCCCGGAAGGGGAGUGAAAUAGAACCUGAAACCGUGUGCUUACAAGUAGUCAGAGCCCGUUAAUGGGUGAUGGCGUGCCUUUUGUAGAAUGAACCGGCGAGUUACGAUUUGAUGCAAGGUUAAGCAGUAAAUGUGGAGCCGUAGCGAAAGCGAGUCUGAAUAGGGCGUUUAGUAUUUGGUCGUAGACCCGAAACCAGGUGAUCUACCCUUGGUCAGGUUGAAGUUCAGGUAACACUGAAUGGAGGACCGAACCGACUUACGUUGAAAAGUGAGCGGAUGAACUGAGGGUAGCGGAGAAAUUCCAAUCGAACCUGGAGAUAGCUGGUUCUCUCCGAAAUAGCUUUAGGGCUAGCCUCAAGUGAUGAUUAUUGGAGGUAGAGCACUGUUUGGACGAGGGGCCCCUCUCGGGUUACCGAAUUCAGACAAACUCCGAAUGCCAAUUAAUUUAACUUGGGAGUCAGAACAUGGGUGAUAAGGUCCGUGUUCGAAAGGGAAACAGCCCAGACCACCAGCUAAGGUCCCAAAAUAUAUGUUAAGUGGAAAAGGAUGUGGCGUUGCCCAGACAACUAGGAUGUUGGCUUAGAAGCAGCCAUCAUUUAAAGAGUGCGUAAUAGCUCACUAGUCGAGUGACACUGCGCCGAAAAUGUACCGGGGCUAAACAUAUUACCGAAGCUGUGGAUUGUCCUUUGGACAAUGGUAGGAGAGCGUUCUAAGGGCGUUGAAGCAUGAUCGUAAGGACAUGUGGAGCGCUUAGAAGUGAGAAUGCCGGUGUGAGUAGCGAAAGACGGGUGAGAAUCCCGUCCACCGAUUGACUAAGGUUUCCAGAGGAAGGCUCGUCCGCUCUGGGUUAGUCGGGUCCUAAGCUGAGGCCGACAGGCGUAGGCGAUGGAUAACAGGUUGAUAUUCCUGUACCACCUAUAAUCGUUUUAAUCGAUGGGGGGACGCAGUAGGAUAGGCGAAGCGUGCGAUUGGAUUGCACGUCUAAGCAGUAAGGCUGAGUAUUAGGCAAAUCCGGUACUCGUUAAGGCUGAGCUGUGAUGGGGAGAAGACAUUGAGUCUUCGAGUCGUUGAUUUCACACUGCCGAGAAAAGCCUCUAGAUAGAAAAUAGGUGCCCGUACCGCAAACCGACACAGGUAGUCAAGAUGAGAAUUCUAAGGUGAGCGAGCGAACUCUCGUUAAGGAACUCGGCAAAAUGACCCCGUAACUUCGGGAGAAGGGGUGCUCUUUAGGGUUAACGCCCAGAAGAGCCGCAGUGAAUAGGCCCAAGCGACUGUUUAUCAAAAACACAGGUCUCUGCUAAACCGUAAGGUGAUGUAUAGGGGCUGACGCCUGCCCGGUGCUGGAAGGUUAAGAGGAGUGGUUAGCUUCUGCGAAGCUACGAAUCGAAGCCCCAGUAAACGGCGGCCGUAACUAUAACGGUCCUAAGGUAGCGAAAUUCCUUGUCGGGUAAGUUCCGACCCGCACGAAAGGCGUAACGAUUUGGGCACUGUCUCAACGAGAGACUCGGUGAAAUCAUAGUACCUGUGAAGAUGCAGGUUACCCGCGACAGGACGGAAAGACCCCGUGGAGCUUUACUGUAGCCUGAUAUUGAAAUUCGGCACAGCUUGUACAGGAUAGGUAGGAGCCUUUGAAACGUGAGCGCUAGCUUACGUGGAGGCGCUGGUGGGAUACUACCCUAGCUGUGUUGGCUUUCUAACCCGCACCACUUAUCGUGGUGGGAGACAGUGUCAGGCGGGCAGUUUGACUGGGGCGGUCGCCUCCUAAAAGGUAACGGAGGCGCUCAAAGGUUCCCUCAGAAUGGUUGGAAAUCAUUCAUAGAGUGUAAAGGCAUAAGGGAGCUUGACUGCGAGACCUACAAGUCGAGCAGGGUCGAAAGACGGACUUAGUGAUCCGGUGGUUCCGCAUGGAAGGGCCAUCGCUCAACGGAUAAAAGCUACCCCGGGGAUAACAGGCUUAUCUCCCCCAAGAGUUCACAUCGACGGGGAGGUUUGGCACCUCGAUGUCGGCUCAUCGCAUCCUGGGGCUGUAGUCGGUCCCAAGGGUUGGGCUGUUCGCCCAUUAAAGCGGUACGCGAGCUGGGUUCAGAACGUCGUGAGACAGUUCGGUCCCUAUCCGUCGUGGGCGUAGGAAAUUUGAGAGGAGCUGUCCUUAGUACGAGAGGACCGGGAUGGACAUACCUCUGGUGUACCAGUUGUCGUGCCAACGGCAUAGCUGGGUAGCUAUGUGUGGAUGGGAUAAGUGCUGAAAGCAUCUAAGCAUGAAGCCCCCCUCAAGAUGAGAUUUCCCAACUUCGGUUAUAAGAUCCCUCAAAGAUGAUGAGGUUAAUAGGUUCGAGGUAGAAGCAUGGUGACAUGUGGAGCUGACGAAUACUAAUCGAUCGAAGACUUAAUCAA
RNAcentral lists this ribosomal RNA (2923 nucleotides) under Staphylococcus aureus. RNAcentral's name for it is "23S ribosomal RNA". It matches the Rfam family "Bacterial large subunit ribosomal RNA". Lineage: Bacteria; Bacillati; Bacillota; Bacilli; Caryophanales; Staphylococcaceae. The record is from RNAcentral.